GGAUGCGAGGCUGAUCUGGCUGUGACUUCUGUCACCCCAUUGGUUACGAGGGUUGGUUCUGCUGGUCUGGCUCCCUAGGUGGGUGUCCCUGCCUCCCUCACAGCCCCAUGGGCGUCCCUCCCAAAGCUGUGUGCUCAGUCAAAGAGGAUGACCUGCCCCGGUAGAGAAGAACCAUACUUACCUCAUGGGUACACGAGUAGCUGUGCUUCCCUACCAGGACCUCCAGACGAGCGCUCAGGGUCCAUCUUUGGGAGAAUGUAGGGGAGUCAAGCUUCCAAGACUCUAGACAUAUCCACUGAGGUACUGCACGUGGGGUCUACUUUCUUUU
Molecule: unclassified non-coding RNA, 328 nt
Organism: Ursus americanus (American black bear)
Lineage: Eukaryota; Metazoa; Chordata; Mammalia; Carnivora; Ursidae
Gene: 7SK
Rfam family: 7SK RNA
About the family: 7SK was discovered as an abundant small nuclear RNA in the mid-70s but a possible function has only recently been suggested. Two independent studies have found that 7SK RNA binds the CDK9/cyclin T complex (known as elongation factor P-TEFb).
Source: Ensembl